AAAAAUUUAGUUAAAUUAUAACGUUAGUUUGUCAAACUAAAAUUAUUAUCAUUAGUAAUUUUUA
RNAcentral lists this transfer RNA (64 nucleotides) under Tolmerinus auronotatus. RNAcentral's name for it is "tRNA-Asp". Lineage: Eukaryota; Metazoa; Arthropoda; Insecta; Coleoptera; Staphylinidae. The record is from RNAcentral.